CGCCAAAUAACUACGAGUAAAGACUUAAAAUUUAAAAGACUUGACGGUAUUUCACAACAACCUAGAGGAGCCUGUCUAAUAACCGAUACCCCACGAUCAACCCAACCUCAUCUAGCCUCAAACAGCCUAUAUACCGCCGUCGCCAGCCUACCUUAUGAAAGAAACAAAGUAAGCCAAACAGCCUCCACUAACACGACAGGUCGAGGUGUAGCUUAUGAUGAGGACAAGAUGGGCUACAUUUUCUAAUACAGAAAACACGAAUCAACUAUGAAAUAAGAAACUGAAGGCGGAUUUAGCAGUAUAUUAAGAACAAAAUACUUAAUCGAAACCAAAGCAAUGAAAUGCGUACACACCGCCCGUCAUCCCUGCCAACAACCCCUA
RNAcentral lists this ribosomal RNA (381 nucleotides) under Dendrophidion graciliverpa. RNAcentral describes it as "partial 12S ribosomal RNA". Lineage: Eukaryota; Metazoa; Chordata; Lepidosauria; Squamata; Colubridae. The record is from RNAcentral.